AAGUCUUGCUUUAUAAUCCUUUUAGGUUUUUAGAGAAAAACAUGCGUUUUAGAGCACUAUAGUUUUUAGACACUAUAGAUUUUAAAGACCAUGGAUUGACCUAAAGCUUACAGGGUAACAAAAGGCUUUAUGAAGAAAGCAGCUCAAGCUUUUCUCAUAGUUUAAGAUGAUACCGGGGAAGGUUUUCCGGUUUAUCCCGGAGGGCUUGUAGCUCAGUUGGUUAGAGCGCGCGCUUGAUAAGCGUGAGGUCGGAGGUUCAAGUCCUCCCAGGCCCACCAAUUUAUGCUCAUUUAUUGUUGCUUAUUCUAAGCCCAUGAAGCUUAAGCGUGAAGCCUCUUUAAUCUUUGUUUAUUGUUAAAGAUUUUGUCUUAUCCUUCAAAGAUUGUUUAAGAUUAUUUUUUAAACCCGUGAAAUUUUGUUAAAAUAGCUUAGGCUAUGUAAGUUGAUAAAAUGGGUUAAGGUUG
RNAcentral lists this unclassified non-coding RNA (464 nucleotides) under Bartonella sp. An5ug. RNAcentral's name for it is "partial 16S-23S ribosomal RNA intergenic spacer". The stretch from base 202 to 275 matches the Rfam family "tRNA". Lineage: Bacteria; Pseudomonadati; Pseudomonadota; Alphaproteobacteria; Hyphomicrobiales; Bartonellaceae. The record is from RNAcentral.